UAGUUUGAUCCUGGCUCAGGAUGAACGCUGGCGGCAUGCCUAAUACAUGCAAGUCGAACGGAGUGAAGCCUUCGGGUUUCAUUCAGUGGCGAACGGGUGAGUAAUACGCAGGGAACCUGGCCAUGGCAGGGGGAUACACUCUGGAAACGGAGCAUAAGACCCCAUAGGCAGUAAGGCGGCAUCGCCUUACUGUUAAAGAAAGCUGAAAGGCUUUGGCGAUGGAUGGACCUGCGGUGCAUUAGCUUGUUGGUGAGGCAACGGCUUACCAAGGCGAUGAUGCAUAGCCGGCCUGAGAGGGCGGACGGCCACACUGGGACUGAGACACGGCCCAGACUCCUGCGGGAGGCAGCAGUAGGGAAUUUUCGUCAAUGGGCGCAAGCCUGAACGAGCAAUGCCGCGUGAGUGAGGAAGGUCUUCGGACUGUAAAGCUCUGUUGCCGGGGAAAAAGGGGAAAUGCAGGAAAUGGCAUUUCAUGGAUGGUACCCGGCCAGAAAAGCCACGGCUAACUACGUGCCAGCAGCCGCGGUAAUACGUAGGUGGCGAGCGUUAUCCGGAAUGAUUGGGCGUAAAGGGUGCGCAGGCGGUCUGUUAAGUCUGAAGGCAAAGGGAUGAGCUCAACUCAUUUAUGAUUCAGAAACUGGCAGACUUGAGGACAGGAGAGGGCGGUGGAACUCCAUGUGUAGCGGUAAAAUGCGCAGAGAUAUGGAAGAACACCAGUGGCGAAGGCGGCCGCCUGGCCUGUGACUGACGCUGAGGCACGAAAGCGUGGGGAGCAAAUAGGAUUAGAUACCCUAGUAGUCCACGCCGUAAACGAUGAGGAGCAGGUGUUGGGAGUGAAAUCUCAGUGCCGAAGCCAACGCAGUGACUCCUCCGCCUGGGGAGUAUGCACGCAAGUGUGAAACUCAAAGGAAUUGACGGGGGCCCGCACAAGCGGUGGAGUAUGUGGUUUAAUUCGAAGCAACGCGAAGAACCUUACCAGGUUUUGACAUCGGAUGCGAAGGCGCAGAGAUGCGCUGGAGGCUAUCAUCCAGACAGGUGGUGCAUGGUUGUCGUCAGCUCGUGUCGUGAGAUGUUCAGUUAAGUCUGGCAACGAGCGCAACCCCCGUGGUAUGUUACUAACGCAUUUGGGCGAGGACUCAUAUCAGACUGCCGGUGACAAACCGGAGGAAGGCGGGGAUGACGUCAAAUCAUCAUGCCCCUUAUGACCUGGGCUACACACGUACUACAAUGGCGUCUACAGAGGGAAGCGACCCUGAGAAGGGAAGCGAAACCGGAAAAGGGCGUCCCAGUUCGGAUUGAAGUCUGCAACCCGACUUCAUGAAGAUGGAAUCGCUAGUAAUCGCGGAUCAGCAUGCCGCGGUGAAUACGUUCCCGGGCCUUGUACACACCGCCCGUCAAACCAUGGAAGCCGGCAACGCCCGAAGCCGGUGGCAUAACCUUUUAGGAGUGAGCCGUCGAAGGCGGGGCCGAUGACUGGGGUUAAGUCGUAACAAGGUAUCC
This 1500-nucleotide ribosomal RNA is filed under the name uncultured bacterium. RNAcentral's name for it is "bacterial SSU rRNA". It matches the Rfam family "Bacterial small subunit ribosomal RNA". The record is from RNAcentral.